AGCCCCGUGGUGUAGCGGUCAAGCAUGCUGGCCUUUGGAGCCAGAGACAGCGGUUCGAAUCCGCUCGGGGCUA
This 73-nucleotide transfer RNA is filed under the name Candidatus Pacearchaeota archaeon ex4484_31. RNAcentral's name for it is "tRNA-Gln". It matches the Rfam family "tRNA". Rfam says of the family: Transfer RNA (tRNA) molecules are approximately 80 nucleotides in length. Their secondary structure includes four short double-helical elements and three loops (D, anti-codon, and T loops). Lineage: Archaea; Nanobdellati. The record is from RNAcentral. RNAcentral also lists the same sequence under 2 other names.